AUUGAACGCUGGCGGCAUGCUUUACACAUGCAAGUCGAACGGCAGCGCGGGCUUCGCCCUGGCGGCGAGUGGCGAACGGGUGAGCAAUGCAUCGGAACGUGCGCAGUUGUGGGGGAGAGCCCGGCGAAAGCCGGAUUAAUACCGCAUAAGACCUGAGGGCGAAAGCGGGGGACCGAAAGACCUUCCGCUCUUGCACCGGCCGAUGUCGGAUUAGCUAGUUGGCGGGGUAAAGGCGUACCAAGGCGACGAUCCGUAGCUGGUCUGAGAGGACGACCAGCCACACUGGGACUGAGACACGGCCCAGACUCCUACGGGAGGCAGCAGUGGGGAAUAUUGGACAAUGGGGGCAAGCCUGAUCCAGCCAUGCCGCGUGCGGGAAGAAGGCCUUCGGGUUGUAAACCGCUUUUGUUCGGGAAGAAAUCCUCUGGGCUAAUACCCCGGGGGGAUGACGGUACCGAAAGAAUAAGCACCGGCUAACUACGUG
This 484-nucleotide ribosomal RNA is filed under the name uncultured bacterium. RNAcentral's name for it is "partial 16S ribosomal RNA". It matches the Rfam family "Bacterial small subunit ribosomal RNA", at positions 29 to 507 of the family's 1533-position model. The record is from RNAcentral.